AAGCCUGGCACACCAGGAUGGACGCACCUAUAACUCACAGAGACAUUGGCAGCUCAUACGAGACCUGUACAAGUUCAAGCCAGCCCAGGUCCCAGCAGUAAGAGAGGGUGGAACCCAGCUCCUAGGGAAUGUCUGAAGCCUUUUGAAACCUCAGAGCCCUACCCUAGUAAUCCUCCAAUAAGGCCAACCUCCAGCCUCUGCUGCUGCCACCAUGCCUUCCUUGCUGAAAUUGUAAGCCUAGCAUUAAACGCCAUUCCAUAUCAUCUCAGUUAACCCUAUCUAGAAACUCACUAGAUAAAAAUACCAAUAACCCAGACAACUUACAAACACACAAAAGAAGUUUGAGAAGUUACAGUUUCAGAGGGUCAGAGUCCAUGACCUCAGGAAAGCCAAGAGCUCUUACCUUGAUCCACAAGCAGCAGAGAGCACACUGGGAAUGACAAAGCCUUUUGAAACUUCCAAGCCCACCCCUAGUAACAGAUCUCUUGCAAGAAGGCCACACAUCCUAAUUGUUCCCAAACAGUUCCACCAGCUGGGGACCCCAAGGGGCCAUUGUCAUUCAAACCACCACGUGAGGUCCUGAGAAUGAACUUGUUAGAUUAUGCAUUCGGAGGACUGAUAAUUCUACAAUGGCCAUUUGUAGGCUGGAGAACUGAGGAAACAGUAGAUAUUUUCAGUUCAAGAAACUGAAGGCUCAGGAUAUGAGGGACCAGUGAUGCAGCCUCCAUGAGAGUCGCUAGUACAAGUUUGCAUCACUCAAAGGCUGAUGAAGCAAGAAUUUGAUGCUCAAAUUGCAAACACUGGCAGAAGAAAACAUAUUUGCCCGGGGGAGCCUGGGAGCUGCUUCUUUCUUUAGUUUUCUGUUUCAUCCGAGUGCAAUCUGCCACUGCCCUGAUUUAAGGAUGUGCUUACAUGCCUCCAUUUACUGACCCACAGCUGUCUCUGGAAACACCCCCACAGUCACAGAGGAGACAGCAAUUGAUUACACUCGAGGCAUCUUUCAAUGGUUUGGCGAGCCAAAAACCAAGAUUCACCAUCACACCAUGGUUAGACAUUUAAAAACAAGCUCAUCGUUUCUCUGGUGGUGAUGAAGAUGGCUAUAUACCUAUGGUAGGACAGCAUCUUCUCACUUGGUUGCCCAAGCUAGCCUUGAAUUCGCUAUCCUCCCUUCUGAACUGUCAAAGUAACUGGUCUUCCAGUCAUGUGACAUAUGGACACAGAAUAACCACAUUUACCUAUAUCCUUUCCUUUUGGAGAUUGUGCAGGUCCACCUAUCCAUCCAGCCUACCAGUUAUCCAUCCAGCAGGUCAUCCUGACCAGUUUUUGUAGGCAAUAGAUAACAGUGAGUUAAAGUCUUGUGGGACUUCUAUGUGGGUGGGAGAAGCAGAAAUAGGUAAUAAAAUAGCGGUCAGGGGUGCUACAGAGGAGAAAAAAGGAACGGAAGACCGUGAGGUGAGCAGAGGAACCUGAAACGGUGGUGAAAGGAGGGCAGUUGAGCCCCGAGAGGAAAGGAUGAAGAAGUGUGAGGACUGAGCGUCUGUCUGCCAGAAAAGCAAAUGCAACGGACCCGAGGCCAGAGGUUGACCAAGAGACUGAAGCCACUGGAGAAUGCUAAAAAGAUAGCUAUGGAUAUUCCAUUCUGGAAUUGUGUGGCGAAAACCGCGCAAGUGUAGAGCAAGCUUUCCAAGGAAAAAAGCCGGCAGGAGGGAACCCAAGGCAACGGAUUCAUUAAAACUCCACACCAACGUUGGCACCAAGCGUCAAAAGCUACGUCCCAGGUGGACUGCUCCAGCAAGGAGUCUGUUCUCCCGCAACUGCUUUCUACUCAUAGACCUUACACAGAGGAGAAGCCUUUUGCAUCUUGUAAUUUAAUGAGCUGCCUGGGAGGGAUGGCUCCUCCCCCCAGGCGUGAAUGAAAAGGUACAGGAGGCCAUUUAGGAUUAAACAGAAAGUUGUUGCAAUACAGAAUUGUUGUGGUGAGACAGAAUCUUGUGGUUCGGUUGAGUGGGGUUGAAGGCGAUAAAAAGCUCCAAUUGUCUCUAGAAGGCUGAGGGCAAGACCUUCUGAUGCAGGAUAUGGAAGCAGAGAGUUAAAAAGGCAACGUCACUGUAGUACUACGUACUGAUAUUAGGACAGACCAAAACACAGCAGCGUUUCCAUUUCCGCUUCCGUUUCCGUUUCUGCUUCCGUUUCCGUUUCUGCUUCCGCUUCCGCUUCCAUCUCUUCCAGUGUGUGAGGAGACAUUGUUCUGAGGGAAGGUGCUGUUGUCUCAGCUGGCUACAAGCUUGAAAUGACUCAACGUGAUUCCCAGUCUAACUUCCGCGAUGAUUUCACCAAAUUCUUACUCUUCACUAAGCACAUAAAAUAACUUCAUGUAAGUGAUAUUUAACAUCUUUGAAAUCUGUCUGUCAUCUACAACGGCUGCUUUCUUGAAGAAUCCCAU
Molecule: small RNA, 2443 nt
Filed under: Rattus norvegicus (Norway rat)
Lineage: Eukaryota; Metazoa; Chordata; Mammalia; Rodentia; Muridae
Description: uncharacterized LOC108348529
Source: RNAcentral